CAGUCGCCGCGGGAAUACAGAGGGUGCAAGCGUUAAUCGGAAUUACUGGGCGUAAAGCGCGCGUAGGUGGUUUGUUAAGUUGGAUGUGAAAGCCCCGGGCUCAACCUGGGAACUGCAUCCAAAACUGGCAAGCUAGAGUACGGUAGAGGGUGGUGGAAUUUCCUGUGUAGCGGUGAAAUGCGUAGAUAUAGGAAGGAACACCAGUGGCGAAGGCGACCACCUGGACUGAUACUGACACUGAGGUGCGAAAGCGUGGGGAGCAAACAGGAUUAGAUACCCGAGUAGUCCCUGUCUCUUAUAU
RNAcentral lists this ribosomal RNA (301 nucleotides) under uncultured bacterium. RNAcentral describes it as "partial 16S ribosomal RNA". It matches the Rfam family "Bacterial small subunit ribosomal RNA", at positions 509 to 809 of the family's 1533-position model. The record is from RNAcentral.